CCUACGGGUGGCAGCAGUGAGGAAUAUUGGUCAAUGGCCGGAAGGCUGAACCAGCCAUGCCGCGUGAAGGUCAGUGCCCUAUGGGCGUUAAACUUCUUUUGUGCGGGAGCAAUAAUGGUCACGUGUGGCCAGACGAGAGUACCGUACGAAUAAGCAUCGGCUAACUCCGUGCCAGCAGCCGCGGUAAUACGGGGGAUGCAAGCGUUAUCCGGAUUUAUUGGGUUUAAAGGGUGCGUAGGCUGUGAGGUAAGUCAGCGGUGAAAUGCCCCCGCUCACCGGGGUGAAGUGCCAUUGAUACUGCCUGGCUGGAAUGCGGAUGCCGUGGGAGGAAUGUGUGGUGGAGCGGUGAAAUGCAUAGAUAUCACACAGAACACCGAUUGCGAAGGCAUCUCACGAAUCCGCGAUUGACGCUGAUGCACGAAAGCGUGGGUAUCAAACAGGAUGAGAUACCCGAGUAGUC
RNAcentral lists this ribosomal RNA (460 nucleotides) under uncultured bacterium. RNAcentral's name for it is "partial 16S ribosomal RNA". It matches the Rfam family "Bacterial small subunit ribosomal RNA", at positions 338 to 795 of the family's 1533-position model. The record is from RNAcentral.